Molecule: transfer RNA, 86 nt
Filed under: Candidatus Saccharimonadota bacterium
Lineage: Bacteria; Candidatus Saccharimonadota
Description: tRNA-Ser
Rfam family: tRNA
About the family: Transfer RNA (tRNA) molecules are approximately 80 nucleotides in length.
Source: RNAcentral
GGAAGGGUGGCCGAGUGGUUGAUGGCACUGGUCUUGAAAACCAGCAGGUUAACGCCUCGCAGGUUCGAAUCCUGUCCCUUCCGCCA